This 253-nucleotide ribosomal RNA is filed under the name uncultured bacterium. Its description in RNAcentral is "partial 16S ribosomal RNA". It matches the Rfam family "Bacterial small subunit ribosomal RNA", at positions 524 to 776 of the family's 1533-position model. The record is from RNAcentral.
UACGUAGGGUCCGAGCGUUGUCCGGAAUUAUUGGGCGUAAAGGGCUCGUAGGCGGUUUGUCGCGUCUGCUGUGAAAACUCGGGGCUUAACCCCGGGCCUGCAGUGGGUACGGGCAGACUAGAGUGCGGUAGGGGAGACUGGAAUUCCUGGUGUAGCGGUGAAAUGCGCAGAUAUCAGGAGGAACACCGAUGGCGAAGGCAGGUCUCUGGGCCAUAACUGACGCUGAGAAGCGAAAGCAUGGGGAGCGAACAGG